RNAcentral lists this long non-coding RNA (3635 nucleotides) under Monomorium pharaonis (pharaoh ant). Its description in RNAcentral is "uncharacterized LOC118644373". The record is from RNAcentral. Lineage: Eukaryota; Metazoa; Arthropoda; Insecta; Hymenoptera; Formicidae.
UUUACUUUACAGUCCGUGUCUUCUUCUUCUUGAGAGAAAGUAGCUUUUAACUUUAACUUUAUCUGUCACUUCAUUUAGAAUUUUGUCGUAGUAAGAAUCAUCUUCAUUUCUACGACAUUCAUCUUAAGGAGAUGUGAAGGAGAGCGUAAGAUACAACCAGUUGACUUUUGGAGGGAAUAACGUAUUUCUCAUAGAACGCUUUCCUCUUCAUAUUUCAUGUCUGAUGAUACUAUCAGCUGUCUGUAAUGAAAAACUUGAAGCAGAUGACGGGGAGAUGUUCGCGCAUGGCUCGGCGAUAACCGAAUUUGUUAAAGCUCGGACGAUAUACGUGCGGUUGCGCGUAUUUUCCUUCACGAAAAGUUUUCCCAUGCAUACUAAUGAUAUCUAUAAUGCAACUGUGUGAUACAUAUCAGGGAUAGCAAUCAGAAUUAUGUUGUAAAAAAUCGUAAUUGCAACGAGGAUAUUAUUAUUUUCCUAAUUUCCAAGGUAAUUUUCAUCUAACAAUCUCGUGGCAAUGCGCUAUUGAACAUAUCGAAAUGUUAAUGUUUUUUUUAUUUAAUCUGAUAUGUUGAAUGAAAAAAAGAAGUGAAUUGAAUGAUAAAAUAUUGAGCACAAACAUAUUCGCACAAUUGCACGCGCUCAAAUACAAUUUUGUAUUAAUUUUCUUUCAUUAAUUUUAACCCAUACAGCACAACAUCUUUCAGAAAGGUUUCUAAAAGAUAUCUGACAGAAGAUAUCUUUCCGAUAUCUUACAGAAAGCUUUCUGAAAGAUGUGUGCUGUGUGGGAAAUAAAUGUGCAUUGUUUCUAGAAUGUAAUUUCGUAAAAUUUUUGUACCUGUACUUUAUUAUACAUAACAUAAAAUUUUUUAAUCCAUAUUUGGAUAACAUUUAUUUUUUCUUUGGAAAACUCAAAUUAACUUUCUAAAUUAAAAAGAUAUAAGUUUAAAAUAUUACAACAAAUGUUAUUUGCUUUUUAACGUAUUAUUAUAUACUAUCUAAUCUAUUAGUAUUGCCGUUUCAUAGUCCAAUUAUAUAAAAUACAAGUAAUUGUAUUAAUCUAUUGUUUUGGAAUUAUCACAAGCCAUGUAUAUACCCAAGAACAAUAAGUUACAGAAACGUCAAAAUACGUCAAAAUAACAUAAAAAUAAAUCGUGCAUGAUUGAAAGAAGAUUUCUAAUUAUUUUAGUAUCUUUUUGGCGUCAUUUUAAUAUCAUGAAAAUUUUAUUAAAUAUGUGUAUGCAUGUGUGUUUUCACAUUUAUUAUAUACUUAAUAAUAUUAAAAAAUUUUCUGUAUUACAACCAUUCUGUAUUCUAUCAAAUCAUCAGAAUUUUAGAAACAUUUCUGUUGUAACAUUUUACAAAUUUUUUCAGAAUAUAAAAUGUGAAAGAUUAAUUCUUUUGAAAACUUUCUGUACUCGAUAUAUAUAUGGGUUUAUAUUAAUGUGAGCUAAAAUUUCUUACUUAAUGGUUUUUAUUAUAUCCCUUUUUGGAUUAGUUGAUUGUUUUGGGGUAUAUUAAAAAAAAUUAAAUUUGUUUUUUAACUUAAUAUUUCUUCGUGCAAAUAUAUAUAUAUAUAUAUAUAUAUAUUUAUAUAAAACAAAUAUUUUUAAAUAUAUAUAGCAUUUUUUCUUACAUAUCUUUUACCAGCAGAUUUUAUUUCUUGCAACUUUCAACCACGUAAAAAGAAUUAUGUAAAACGGAUACUUCGCAAGACUAUAGUGUAUACGUAUAUAUUAGAUACAUAUAUAAAUAAUAGUAUCAUAUUUCAUAUAAUUGCAAUCUUUACUCUUAAUGAAGUACAUUUUAAUGUUCUUAUAAUUCUAAUUUUCAAUCUUCUUAAUCUCAUGUUUAAAAAUUUUUCAACUAAAGUUUUAGCAUUAUUUCUGAAAAAAAAAAACUUUCUUGAUUGAUUGUCAAUCAUUUAUUUAAAAUAAAUCGAAACUUCAUUAACUUUGUCAACUUAACUGUUACCCGUAAUACUCGCUGGUAAUAACUGCUGUAAUAACAGCUCACGUUGUUACAAUAAGUAACGGUGCGUGAUGAGAUUUCAUCAGUACGAUCGAAGCUGCACCGUCGACGUCGGCGACGUUUGGUUUUAAGAGCGAAAUUAAAUCUGUAAAAUUUUCCAUUCUCCAGCGUUUUGCAAUGUACACAAAAUUUCAUUUCUCUUCUUUUUGCUUACCAUUCCCGGUACGUUAUAGAAAAUUGCAACUGCUCCGGAAAAUCUUGAAGCGAAAAGUUUUUUUCGUAAAAUUCAAUUAAAUUGCUAAAAUGUCAUCAGUUUAUUGACGAAGAAAAAGAAAGAAAGAAAAAAGAUGGAUAGAUAAAGAAUCAGAGAGAAAGAGAAAGAGAAUAUUAAUCGUUUAUAUAACGCUUUUGAUUUUGUCGAAUAUUCACCAAUAAUAUUCACCAGUGGACGAUAAGUACUUAGACGAGAAUAAAAGAAUGCUUUUCGAUUGAGGGGAAAAAGGCGAUUCGUUGAGUAAAAAUGCAAGAUCUCCGAUACAACGUUGGCCUUAACCUUCAUAAUUAGUCGUGUGAGUCAAGUAAAUGAUGUAAUGACGAGCUGUAGCUACAGUAAUAUAUCGACCUUUAGUUUGCAGAUGGUGCAUUCAGAAUCGAUUUUGACGGGUUACUUCGCCUUACAAGUCUAAUAAAGGACGCUUAAGUUCUACACAGACGACGAUAUUAAUAUUAAACAAAACAAUUAUAAGCAGAAAUGUUAUGACUUUCAUUAAAAGUCUUUCAACGUUUUCAUGAAACUUAACUGAAUGACAAUUUAAUUGACAAAUUAAUUUUUCACAAUUUUAAAGAUAAAAGUUUCCAAUAAAUCUCAAAUUACACAUUAAGUAUCUAAUAUUAAAGCAAUACAAAUUUUGAUUUUUUAAAAUAUUGUAUACAAAGAAUAGUAUAUUUGCAAGAGAAAAUGUAAAAAAAACAUUAUGCUUGUAUUACAAUAGCGAAAUAAUAUAUUAAGUCAAAAAAUGCGUUGAAUAUGCAUAACCAUUAUAAUACACUUUUUAAUUGACUGAAACUGCAGAAUAUAACUGUAAGAUAAUAUAUAAUUUAUAAUAUGCAAUUGAUGCGUAAAGAAAUAGAUAGAUGUAAGGGCAAACACUGUACGACGAAUGAGUUUUAAUUAGUAUAAUGCUCGCAACCUCGUGGCAAGUGUGCGAUAAGCUAUCUGCAAUAAGAACGACAAACACGUGCCGUCGUCACGUCGAGCACUUAACAUAUGGUUCUUACACGCGAUCUUAAGGUUUGCAUUAUGCGUACUCGAGAAAGUUGAUUUUUAUAUUUAUUAUAUUUUUCUUACUACAUGGAUUACACUGCAAUGCUCAUUCAAUCGUGCAAAGGAUCGAUCAUGUAACUUUAUAAAACUUUUUAUUUUUCGCUGUAUUUAUUCCGCAAAAACUUUUACUAUUCACGCGAUACUAAUAAUUUUCUUUAAUUUUCAUUUACUAAUCAUAUUUAGUGAUUUGUAUUUUUCCUGUACGAAGUUACAUGUGAUGAAUAAUAAAAUUGCGUACAUAAUAAAGAAAAGUUAAUAUGUGAAGAAGUUAAGUGAAAAAUGAAAAGUUCCACGAAGUUACAUGAUUGAUCUCCUAAUGUCAAAUAGACAGAGCUGAAAUAAA